Molecule: ribosomal RNA, 110 nt
Filed under: Sargassopsis heteromorphum
Lineage: Eukaryota; Phaeophyceae; Fucales; Sargassaceae
Description: partial 5.8S ribosomal RNA
Rfam family: 5.8S ribosomal RNA
About the family: 5.8S ribosomal RNA (5.8S rRNA) is a component of the large subunit of the eukaryotic ribosome. It is transcribed by RNA polymerase I as part of the 45S precursor that also contains 18S and 28S rRNA. Functionally, it is thought that 5.8S rRNA may be involved in ribosome translocation.
Source: RNAcentral
GCAGCGAAAUGCGAUACGUCUUGCGACUUGCAGAAUCCCGUGAAUCAUCGAAACUUCGAACGCAUCUUGCGCUCCCGGGAUAUGCCUGGGAGCAUGCUUGUCGGGGAGGA